ACUAAGUUGGUGUUUUGUGUCAAGAUUUGGAAAGUUUUGAAAGUCUUGGUUUUUUAGACUUAAGGGUAGCAAUGCACUCUUUAAAUGCCCAAAUGAUAAUUAGUGUCAACAUAUAGGUGCAAGAAAUGUUAUACUUUAGUUGUUUUUCAAGCUAGCUAUGUUUGGUGCUGAGACGAGACUGGACAAAAUUGGUGUUUUCAAAUAUUGUUUUAGAAUAAAUUCAAGCAGACCAA
Molecule: long non-coding RNA, 233 nt
Filed under: Vigna radiata
Lineage: Eukaryota; Viridiplantae; Streptophyta; Magnoliopsida; Fabales; Fabaceae
Description: long non-coding RNA (VRAD_LNC010634)
Source: RNAcentral